AACAUUUCUUAUCCUAUAGUCUAAAUUUAAAAUUAGUUUCUUCAAUUCUUCAAUUUUUUUAAAAGCACCAUCAACUUUUAAAAUAAAUUGCUCUUCAGUAAUAAUUUUAUUUCUACUAGAUUCCUCAAUAGUGUUUUCAAUUCGCUCAAUAUUUACGCUACUAUCAGCUCUGACUGAUGUUUGUUCUGUGUGAAUAUAAUUAACAUGUACAUGUUCAUUCAUCUUCCGUAAAAGUAAGUAACUGAGAAUAUUUCAAAGCUUAUUAUUCUUUUAUAAUACCAGCCUCUUUUAACUCUUCUACUAUGGAUAGAAUUUCAUUGUCAUGAUUUGUAUGACCAGCAUGUUUUGAAGAAAUCAGGAGUUUCAAUCUUUCAAUUAAUUCAUUAGGGUCAUCCCAAUAAACAUAAUCUGUAUUGCUUUUAUAUUUUUUUAAGGUUGGUAAGUUGCCACCACUUUUUGGUUGCAUUACCUGCUCUUCUACUUGAACAUCAUUUUGUUGUGAAAAUAAAGGUUUGAUAAUUUGACGAUAUUUCAAACUUUUGUCUCCUUUUAUUUGACCAUUUGAGUGAAAGUCUCGUUUGUGUGCAUGUGUAUUAUGAAGCAUAUCUUUGUAGACAAUUUUAUCUACUUCAGUUACCAAACUUAGGUUGGGUUUAUUGCGUAGCAAAAGUUCUUUUAAACCUGGUGUUAAUUCAUAAUGCUUAUUGUUUAUAGUGACUAUAUUUGUUUUUUGUGAAUCAUUGACGUUAUUUGAAAGAGAAAGUGUUACCUUAGAAUUUCCCAUCAUAAGAUUUUUGUUUUCACUACGUAUCCCAAAUGGUACAUUUAUGUUAUUCUCAUAAAUUUCCAUCAUAUCUUCUUUGUUCAGUGAAAUUAGUGAAUCGGUGGACUUUUUUACAUGAUUUCUUGAUAGAGUGUCUUUAUAUUCAGAAUGUGCACUAUGGUCUGUUUUUAUAAAUUCUUUAAAACUUUCAUAAUCUAGAGAUGAGCUGAGUUUUCCAAAUGUAUUGUUUUCAUCUUUAGAAAUGUCAAAUAUCUUUAUAUCUUUAUCAUUCACUUUAACUAAAGUUUCCAAGGGAUCGGUUAUUGGUUUAAACGCCUUUUUAAAUUUUAAAUUAGCGUUAUCUUCUUCAUCUUGUAAUAUUUUUAUUUUAUUUUUUAUAGUAUCUGCUGAUUUUAUUAAUUGUUCCUUAAUAUUAAUAUCCAUCGUUUGAUUUUCAAUCAUACGCAACUGUUAUUUACAGCUAUUGGAAGUCGAUUGAUAUGUUUUCCAUUGCGCGGGUAUAUAUGCAUAUUCUAAAGGCAUAUAAAUGUAUCGAAGCCUUGUCUGUAUCUUCCUUUAUUAAGAGCGCAAUCUUUAUUUAUUAAUAAAAAAUCAAACCGAUCCUGCCAUAUCAUAGAGCAAAGUUUUUUAAAUUUUAACCACUCCAUAUCCGUAUUUACAUGCUCAUUGUAAAUAUGUUUUAAAUUUUCUCGUCCUGUCUGAAGAUAAUUAUAAGAUUAACGUUGUCUCGUAUUAGUUGUUUAGGUAUUUUGGAAUAGGUUUGUGAUAAAUAAAAACAAUCUAUGUGUUUAUGCCUUCCCAUUGCAAAAUAAUUACGAAUGUUAACUUGUUUUUCACAUGCAACGUCAUCAAAAAUCAUUAAUGAGUUAGCUAAAGCAUUAUUGGGAUGUAUUAUUUCUUUAUUAUCAUUGAAGACCGAGAAUUUAGCACUAGGAACAUUCUUCAUAACUUGUUUUAGAAAACAAUACUUUGGCUGGAAAGCUGUCUUAGAGUAUAAAUAUAUAUGCUUGAAUUUCAAACCGUUUUCAUGCAAUAUUAAAUUGAGCAUUACAUUCGUUUUCCCGCAGUUAGAUGGACCACAUAUUAUACAUCUGAUUGUAUUAGGCAAAAGUGCACUGUGUUUUAUUUUGUGUGAUUGAUUUUCUAACUUUAUAUUACUAAUUUCUAAAGUCUGGGGUUGCUUGAUGAACUUCAUUGUGAAAAGUGAGGCAAAAUAACGUUACUAGUCUAUUUAUAUGUUUACAGGUUAUCAACAAAUAAAAAUCAACAAAGAAACUCCAGUGAUAUUUUCAUCAAUGAUUCAUCAUGCUCCCAAAUACCGGCAGCGCAACAACUACGUCAAAAUGUUUUGAACUACCUAGAGAGGGAAAGACCGUUCCGGUAUGAUGAAAUAAGAUCGAGUCCAUCGUACUCUCCGAUUCCAGCAGCAUCAAGAGAAAGACCCUUUCAAUUCGAAGAAAGACCGAGCAGCAGCGGCCCUGAAAGAGUUCCUAAUAGUAAAAAACGAGGGACCAAAACUUUGUAUUCGUACAUUAAAAAGCCUGCAAAGGGUUUACAAUCGAAAGUAAUACGGAUCCAAAUCUAUGAUGCAGAAGAUUUAAAAAGUUCUAAAUUAUGUGAGUGUAGGGCUAAUGUAUGCGCUCAGCAUAUUGUUGAAAAUGUGUUUAACGAUGAUAUAUACAAGUGCGCAAAAGAUAUGAUAAGUAAAAUUCAAAAGAAACUGUAAAUAAUUCAUAAAUAAACAAUAUUACUGA
Long non-coding RNA from Helicoverpa armigera (cotton bollworm), 2538 nucleotides. RefSeq lists it as uncharacterized. The transcript is spliced from 2 exons. NCBI's taxonomy places the organism in Eukaryota, Metazoa, Arthropoda, Insecta, Lepidoptera, Noctuidae. The record is from RefSeq and is a predicted model, not a curated record.